This is a long non-coding RNA of Leucoraja erinaceus (little skate), 2354 nucleotides long. RefSeq lists it as uncharacterized. The record is from RefSeq and is a predicted model, not a curated record. NCBI's taxonomy places the organism in Eukaryota, Metazoa, Chordata, Chondrichthyes, Rajiformes, Rajidae. The transcript has 3 exons.
UCCUGAGAGAGGGCGAGUCCAAGUCAUCGUGAGUUCAACCCUGGUGCAGUUUGUUGCAGCUUCCGUGCGCUUCCAUGAACCUCGCCUGGAAAUAUACAGCGGCGGAACAAUGAAACCACAACAAAAAAUCAUCGGACAUGUUGCAAAUAUUGAUCGGAUUGGGCAGCCUCUCAGUGGGAAGUCGUGAAGCAGAAUCAACGUUUCUGGCCGGUGACAUCUUCUGUUUUUGUUUCAGGUUAACAGCAACUGCGGAUGCUGCCUGACCCACUGGGUUACCCCAACACUCUGUGUCUUGUGCAAGAGGAAGCUAAUGUUGGUUUGUUUAUGAAGCUGAUAAAAUGAAGCGGGGUCCAUGUGUGGAAAUUUAAACAAGCCUCUUGGAUUGACACUAAAUCUAGAUCACAUCAGAACAUAGCUCGUCCGAGUGUGAACUUUGCUGUUACAGGCUGAUGGCUUGAUAUGAACCUGGAAUGAUUGCACAUCAUUGUAGAUACCCCAGAGCGCUGUACAACCAAUGUAAGUGACGUGCAGAAGCUGAUGGGAUGGACCAGCAGCCAGUAUAUAAACAAUACAAUAACGACUAGAUAGCGUUUCUCUCAGCGCUGUUGACUGAGGGAUGAAUAUUGACCAGGACUCUGGGAACAUCCCAGUUCCGAUGAAUAUUAGCUCUUUUUAUCCACUGAUGCGGUCCAGUGCCUAUCUAAUAUCCUUUGAAAUUAUUGAUCACCAGCACCCAUGUGCAUUGUUUGUCAUCACCAAUUGCUGUGUAAAAAGUUUUUCCGCUGUGCAGAGGAUGUUAAUGGUAAAAUACUAUUGUGUUUUGUUCUUUUUUUUAUUCGUAUGGCUGUAUGGUGACCCCAAAUUUCACUGUACCAACUGGUGCAUGUGACAAUAAUAAUAAUACAUCUUUAUUGUCAUUGCACAGAGGUAUAACAAGAUUUGGAAUGCAACUUCCAUCCGAUGUAAUAACUUAAUUAGCUAAAAAUUUAAACACCCCGAGAAAGAAGAUUUAAAAAAACCCGGUUAAAGCAGUAUAAAGUGCAAAUAGGUCUGUGCCGGGUCGAUGUGCGACGUGACCAUCCGAGGGAGACAGUUCAUGGCGGAGCACUCAGCAGGACCAGUUCAGAGCUGCUAUAGCUCUGGGGAUGAAGCUGUUCCUAAGUCUGGAGGUGCGGGUGUAGAACGCCGGAUGGUAGAUGUUCGAACAGACUAUUGCAAGGGUGUGGGGAGUCUUUCUGAAUGCUCAUGGCCUUCCUGAGGCACUGUGUAUUGUAGAUGCCCUCCAAGUCUGGUAGCUGUAUCCAAAUUAUCUUCUGCGCUCUGUGGACGACCCGCUGAAUUGAAUUGAAUUGAAUAACCUUUAAUAAUCCUUUACAGGAAAUUACAGUGCCACAACAGCUUCAAGACAGACAUAACACCACACAUUUCCACAGAUAGCUUCAAUACUUAAUAAGUUAAAAUACAAUGAAUGAAUACUAAAAAAAAUCCAAAAUUAUUUUUGUGCAUUAUAAAACCUUAUAGCAGCAGGUAUACAAGACUUCCUAUAUCUCUCCGUUUUGCACAUUGGUGCAAUCAGUCUCUGACUGAAGAUGCUGCACUUGAUCACCUUCAGGGCGUGGAGUGGGUGAGUGGGGUUGGUCAUUAUUGAACCUAGUUUGUUCAGAGUUCUGGCCUCUGCCACCUGCUGGACCGUUAGCUCUCCUCUCCGCCUCCGUGCAGCUGAGAUACCACACAGAGUCUCUUGAAAUGUCUCUUGAAUCUUGAAUCUUGCCUGAGGCCUGAGAAGCAAGCGAUGGCAAUCUCGGCAAAAGGAACCGGGUGUGGGUGGUGAGAGAUGGGAUGUUUGCAGUGGUUGCAGGUCGAGGUGAUAUGGAAUAGGCUGCCAGAGGCCCUAGAGCAGCCGGGGCAUCACGUAGAUCAAACACCGCUGGAGUUCCCACAGAGGUUUGAUAAGCACGCAGCAUAGGCACAACCCGCAACGGCUUCACGGAGCGACGGGAGAAGGCACCAAUAUCAUUGCUGACCCCAACAUAAUUAGUCCAGCACUACCGACAGGACAACGACCACUUUAAGGCCAAGAUGAGACUCUAAUUUUAAGAACUAGAAACGUGGCAACUCUUUGUGUACUGCCUUGGAAAAAAACUAUUUUUUUACACAUUACAAUCAUAGCACUCUUUUACUUAUGGAAGAUUGGGCUUAUGUACAGUGUGAUUUUAAUGGAUUAUAUGCAAAACAAAGCAUUUCACUGUAUUUAGGUAGACGUGACAAUAAAGUAAUGAUUGAGCUAUUAACUUCAUGUCCUGAUGUUCUCCACUGAACCAUUCCUUCUGUUUUAACCUGGAUCUGACAAAAUA